GCUAUGAAGAAAAUUUUGGACUUGAUCAACACUAAAAUGAAAAGUUCAAUUAGUUCCUCUAAGAAGUUCUGAGCUU
Small nucleolar RNA from Colossoma macropomum (tambaqui), 76 nucleotides. RefSeq annotates it as small nucleolar RNA SNORD61. Lineage: Eukaryota; Metazoa; Chordata; Actinopteri; Characiformes; Serrasalmidae. The transcript has a single exon. The record is from RefSeq and is a predicted model, not a curated record.